RNAcentral lists this ribosomal RNA (114 nucleotides) under Labrus bergylta (ballan wrasse). The record is from RNAcentral. Lineage: Eukaryota; Metazoa; Chordata; Actinopteri; Labriformes; Labridae.
GCUUACGGCCAUACCACCCUGAACACGCCCGAUCUCUCAGAUCUCGAAGCUAAGCAGGGUCGGCCUGGUUAGUACUUGGAUGGAGACCGCCUGGAAUACCAGGUGCUGUAAGCU